This 498-nucleotide ribosomal RNA is filed under the name uncultured bacterium. RNAcentral describes it as "partial 16S ribosomal RNA". It matches the Rfam family "Bacterial small subunit ribosomal RNA", at positions 30 to 523 of the family's 1533-position model. The record is from RNAcentral.
AUUGAACGCUGGCGGCAUGCCUUACACAUGCAAGUCGAACGGUAACAGGUCUUCGGAUGCUGACGAGUGGCGAACGGGUGAGUAAUACAUCGGAACGUGCCUAGUAGUGGGGGAUAACUACUCGAAAGAGUGGCUAAUACCGCAUGAGAUCUACGGAUGAAAGCAGGGGAUCGCAAGACCUUGUGCUACUAGAGCGGCCGAUGGCAGAUUAGGUAGUUGGUGGGAUAAAAGCUUACCAAGCCGACGAUCUGUAGCUGGUCUGAGAGGACGAUCAGCCACACUGGGACUGAGACACGGCCCAGACUCCUACGGGAGGCAGCAGUGGGGAAUUUUGGACAAUGGGCGCAAGCCUGAUCCAGCAAUGCCGCGUGCAGGAUGAAGGCCUUCGGGUCGUAAACUGCUUUUGUACGGAACGAAAAGCCCUGGGUUAAUACCCUGGGGUCAUGACGGUACCGUAAGAGUAAGCACCGGCUAACUACGUGCCAGCCGCCGCCGUAA